This 1372-nucleotide ribosomal RNA is filed under the name uncultured bacterium. RNAcentral describes it as "bacterial SSU rRNA". It matches the Rfam family "Bacterial small subunit ribosomal RNA", at positions 28 to 1381 of the family's 1533-position model. The record is from RNAcentral.
GAUGAACGCUGGCGGCGUGCCUAAUACAUGCAAGUCGAGCGAACGGACGAGAAGCUUGCUUCUCUGAUGUUAGCGGCGGACGGGUGAGUAACACGUGGAUAACCUACCUAUAAGACUGGGAUAACUUCGGGAAACCGGAGCUAAUACCGGAUAAUAUUUUGAACCGCAUGGUUCAAAAGUGAAAGACGGUCUUGCUGUCACUUAUAGAUGGAUCCGCGCUGCAUUAGCUAGUUGGUAAGGUAACGGCUUACCAAGGCAACGAUGCAUAGCCGACCUGAGAGGGUGAUCGGCCACACUGGAACUGAGACACGGUCCAGACUCCUACGGGAGGCAGCAGUAGGGAAUCUUCCGCAAUAGGCGAAAGCCUGACGGAGCAACGCCGCGUGAGUGAUGAAGGUCUUCGGAUCGUAAAACUCUGUUAUUAGGGAAGAACAUAUGUGUAAGUAACUGUGCACAUCUUGACGGUACCUAAUCAGAAAGCCACGGCUAACUACGUGCCAGCAGCCGCGGUAAUACGUAGGUGGCAAGCGUUAUCCGGAAUUAUUGGGCGUAAAGCGCGCGUAGGCGGUUUUUUAAGUCUGAUGUGAAAGCCCACGGCUCAACCGUGGAGGGUCAUUGGAAACUGGAAAACUUGAGUGCAGAAGAGGAAAGUGGAAUUCCAUGUGUAGCGGUGAAAUGCGCAGAGAUAUGGAGGAACACCAGUGGCGAAGGCGACUUUCUGGUCUGUAACUGACGCUGAUGUGCGAAAGCGUGGGGAUCAAACAGGAUUAGAUACCCUGGUAGUCCACGCCGUAAACGAUGAGUGCUAAGUGUUAGGGGGUUUCCGCCCCUUAGUGCUGCAGCUAACGCAUUAAGCACUCCGCCUGGGGAGUACGACCGCAAGGUUGAAACUCAAAGGAAUUGACGGGGACCCGCACAAGCGGUGGAGCAUGUGGUUUAAUUCGAAGCAACGCGAAGAACCUUACCAAAUCUUGACAUCCUUUGACAACUCUAGAGAUAGAGCCUUCCCCUUCGGGGGACAAAGUGACAGGUGGUGCAUGGUUGUCGUCAGCUCGUGUCGUGAGAUGUUGGGUUAAGUCCCGCAACGAGCGCAACCCUUAAGCUUAGUUGCCAUCAUUAAGUUGGGCACUCUAAGUUGACUGCCGGUGACAAACCGGAGGAAGGUGGGGAUGACGUCAAAUCAUCAUGCCCCUUAUGAUUUGGGCUACACACGUGCUACAAUGGACAAUACAAAGGGCAGCGAAACCGCGAGGUCAAGCAAAUCCCAUAAAGUUGUUCUCAGUUCGGAUUGUAGUCUGCAACUCGACUACAUGAAGCUGGAAUCGCUAGUAAUCGUAGAUCAGCAUGCUACGGUGAAUACGUUCCCGGGUCU